GUAAGGGCGACUGAACGGGGAAAAGCUCAGCAUGUGAAUCUGCGCCUUGGCGCUGAAUUGUGGUCUGUUGACUCUGGCGUUAUUGGCCGGGCUAAGUCCCUUGGAACAGGGCAGCAUAGAGGGUGAGACUCCCGUCUGCCUGGCCUUUUGAGCUGGAUGUCUACGAGUCGAGUUGUUUGGGAUUGCAGCUCAAAGUGGGUGGUAAAUUCCAUCUAAAGCUAAAUAUUGGUGGGAAACCGAUAGCGUACAAGUACCGUGAGGGAAAGAUGCAAAGAACUUUGAAAAGAGAGUUAAAGAGUACCUGAAAUUGCUGAAAGGGAAGCGAAGGAAACCAGUGCUUGCCGAGGCAUAUUUCUCCCUCCGCUUGCGGGGUGGGCGCUGUGUCUUGGCCUGGGUCAGGCUUGGUUCGGUUGGUCAGAAAGGCGUAGUGGGAGUUGCCCACUGCUUGCCUGUGACUGGCAGACUGAGGCUGACAAAAUGGUUUUCUU
RNAcentral lists this ribosomal RNA (488 nucleotides) under Navicula trivialis. RNAcentral's name for it is "eukaryotic LSU rRNA". It matches the Rfam family "Eukaryotic large subunit ribosomal RNA", at positions 83 to 644 of the family's 3401-position model. The record is from RNAcentral. Lineage: Eukaryota; Bacillariophyta; Bacillariophyceae; Naviculales; Naviculaceae.